Molecule: unclassified non-coding RNA, 253 nt
Filed under: uncultured Pustularia
Lineage: Eukaryota; Fungi; Ascomycota; Pezizomycetes; Pezizales; Pyronemataceae
Description: sequence contains 5.8S rRNA gene
Rfam family: 5.8S ribosomal RNA (bases 1-53)
Source: RNAcentral
GAACGCACAUUGCGCCUUCCGGUAUUCCGGAAGGCAUGCCUGUCCGAGCGUCAUCAAAAACCACUCAAGUAGUUUUGCUUGGUUAUGAAAGAAGAGUUUGCUUGCGAAUUCCCUUUCGAAAUUCAAUGGCGGAGGGUCUCAUGAUUCCGGCGUAGUAAUAACUUAUUCGCUUGGUCAUUGUAACAAUCCUGCCUUAAACCCCCAAUUCUAGUGUUUGACCUCGGAUCAGGUAGGGAUACCCGCUGAACUUAAG